RNAcentral lists this ribosomal RNA (391 nucleotides) under uncultured bacterium. RNAcentral describes it as "bacterial SSU rRNA". It matches the Rfam family "Bacterial small subunit ribosomal RNA", at positions 28 to 417 of the family's 1533-position model. The record is from RNAcentral.
GACGAACGCUGGCGGCGUGCUUAACACAUGCAAGUCGAGCGGUAAGGCCCUUUCGGGGGUACACGAGCGGCGAACGGGUGAGUAACACGUGGGUGACCUGCCCUCAGCUCUGGGAUAAGCCUGGGAAACCGGGUCUAAUACCGGAUAUGACUCCAUGACGCAUGUUGUGGGGUGGAAAGCCUUGUGCGGCGUGGGGAGUGGGCCCGCGGCCUAUCAGCUUGGUUGGUGGGGUGAUGGCCUACCAAGGCGACGACGGGUAGCCGGCCUGAGAGGGCGACCGGCCACACUGGGACUGAGACACGGCCCAGACUCCUACGGGAGGCAGCAGUGGGGAAUCUUGCGCAAUGGGCGAAAGCCUGACGCAGCGACGCCGCGUGAGGGAUGACGGCCU